Small nuclear RNA from Leptinotarsa decemlineata (Colorado potato beetle), 106 nucleotides. The record is from RefSeq and is a predicted model, not a curated record. Lineage: Eukaryota; Metazoa; Arthropoda; Insecta; Coleoptera; Chrysomelidae.
GUACUCGCUUCGGCGGUGCAUUUACUAAAAUUAGAACGAUACGGAGAAGAUUAGCAUGGCCCCUGGGAAGGAUGGCACGCAAAAUCGUGAAACGUUCCACAUUUUU